GCCCUCAUAGCUCAGGGGAUAGAGCACCGCUCUCCUAAAGCGGGUGUCGCAGGUUCGAAUCCUGCUGGGGGCACCA
This 76-nucleotide transfer RNA is filed under the name Actinomycetota bacterium. Its description in RNAcentral is "tRNA-Arg". It matches the Rfam family "tRNA". Rfam says of the family: Transfer RNA (tRNA) molecules are approximately 80 nucleotides in length. The record is from RNAcentral. Lineage: Bacteria; Bacillati; Actinomycetota.